This 69-nucleotide transfer RNA is filed under the name Capra hircus (goat). It matches the Rfam family "tRNA". Rfam says of the family: Transfer RNA (tRNA) molecules are approximately 80 nucleotides in length. Their secondary structure includes four short double-helical elements and three loops (D, anti-codon, and T loops). Further hydrogen bonds mediate the characteristic L-shaped molecular structure. tRNAs have two regions of fundamental functional importance: the anti-codon, which is responsible for specific mRNA codon recognition, and the 3' end, to which the tRNAs corresponding amino acid is attached (by aminoacyl-tRNA synthetases). tRNAs cope with the degeneracy of the genetic code in two manners: having more than one tRNA (with a specific anti-codon) for a particular amino acid; and 'wobble' base-pairing, i.e. permitting non-standard base-pairing at the 3rd anti-codon position. Lineage: Eukaryota; Metazoa; Chordata; Mammalia; Artiodactyla; Bovidae. RNAcentral also lists the same sequence under 1 other name. The record is from Rfam by way of RNAcentral.
ACUGACCUGUCAGACAGUAAAGAAUCUGCUUGCAAUGCAGGAGACCUGGGUUCGAUCCCUGGGUCAGGA